RNAcentral lists this transfer RNA (49 nucleotides) under Erycina echinata. RNAcentral describes it as "partial tRNA-Leu". Lineage: Eukaryota; Viridiplantae; Streptophyta; Magnoliopsida; Asparagales; Orchidaceae. The record is from RNAcentral.
AAAUCCGUCGAAUCUUGAAAUCGUGAGGGUUCAAGUCCCUCUAUCCCCA